Molecule: unclassified non-coding RNA, 561 nt
Filed under: plant metagenome
Description: partial contains small subunit ribosomal RNA and internal transcribed spacer 1
Source: RNAcentral
AAGUCGUAACAAGGUUUCCCUCCGCAGCUGAGCUUCGGAGACCUUGCAGCCCGUAAUAGGGAGGCGGCGCGACCAUAAAUAAGGCUGGCCACUUGCAAGUUGACCGUGAGGUCAGCGACAUAAUCGACCUGACGGGGACUUCCUAAAGCCUGCAGCACCACCUAGACGGGGAAACCCGUCUGGUACGGUAAGAGUCUGCAGGAUGCACAAUGGGUAAUCCGCAGCCGAGCCCCUACCGCGAAAGCCACGGGGAAGGUUCACAGACUAGGUGAUUAUGGGUCUGGCUGCCCGCCGGAUCUAAGAUAUAGUCGGUCCCAGGGAGAGAUCUCAGAGGUUUCAGCGUCCGUAGGUGAACCUGCGGAAGGAUCAUUAAUGUAACCGGACCGUUCGGGCGCUGUAAAACGCAUCUGUUCGGAAAGGGAGAUAUCAUACACCCUGUGUUUACUUACCUUUGUUGCUUUGGCGGGCCGUCCUUUUAGGCGUCGGCCCCGGCUGAUCGUGCCCGCCAGAGGACCCAAAUUCUUCUAUCAGUGAUGUCUGAGUACUAUAUAAUAGUUAAAA